Molecule: ribosomal RNA, 1074 nt
Filed under: Escherichia coli
Lineage: Bacteria; Pseudomonadati; Pseudomonadota; Gammaproteobacteria; Enterobacterales; Enterobacteriaceae
Description: partial 23S ribosomal RNA
Rfam family: Bacterial large subunit ribosomal RNA
Source: RNAcentral
CGGUAAGGUGAUAUGAACCGUUAUAACCGGCGAUUUCCGAAUGGGGAAACCCAGUGUGAUUCGUCACACUAUCAUUAACUGAAUCCAUAGGUUAAUGAGGCGAACCGGGGGAACUGAAACAUCUAAGUACCCCGAGGAAAAGAAAUCAACCGAGAUUCCCCCAGUAGCGGCGAGCGAACGGGGAGGAGCCCAGAGCCUGAAUCAGUGUGUGUGUUAGUGGAAGCGUCUGGAAAGGCGCGCGAUACAGGGUGACAGCCCCGUACACAAAAAUGCACAUGCUGUGAGCUCGAUGAGUAGGGCGGGACACGUGGUAUCCUGUCUGAAUAUGGGGGGACCAUCCUCCAAGGCUAAAUACUCCUGACUGACCGAUAGUGAACCAGUACCGUGAGGGAAAGGCGAAAAGAACCCCGGCGAGGGGAGUGAAAAAGAACCUGAAACCGUGUACGUACAAGCAGUGGGAGCACGCUUAGGCGUGUGACUGCGUACCUUUUGUAUAAUGGGUCAGCGACUUAUAUUCUGUAGCAAGGUUAACCGAAUAGGGGAGCCGAAGGGAAACCGAGUCUUAACUGGGCGUUAAGUUGCAGGGUAUAGACCCGAAACCCGGUGAUCUAGCCAUGGGCAGGUUGAAGGUUGGGUAACACUAACUGGAGGACCGAACCGACUAAUGUUGAAAAAUUAGCGGAUGACUUGUGGCUGGGGGUGAAAGGCCAAUCAAACCGGGAGAUAGCUGGUUCUCCCCGAAAGCUAUUUAGGUAGCGCCUCGUGAAUUCAUCUCCGGGGGUAGAGCACUGUUUCGGCAAGGGGGUCAUCCCGACUUACCAACCCGAUGCAAACUGCGAAUACCGGAGAAUGUUAUCACGGGAGACACACGGCGGGUGCUAACGUCCGUCGUGAAGAGGGAAACAACCCAGACCGCCAGCUAAGGUCCCAAAGUCAUGGUUAAGUGGGAAACGAUGUGGGAAGGCCCAGACAGCCAGGAUGUUGGCUUAGAAGCAGCCAUCAUUUAAAGAAAGCGUAAUAGCUCACUGGUCGAGUCGGCCUGCGCGGAAGAUGUAACGGGGCUAAACCAUGCAC